AUUGAACGCUGGCGGCAGGCCUAACACAUGCCAGUCGAGCGGAUGAAGGGAGCUUGCUCCUGGAUUCAGCGGCGGACGGGUGAGUAAUGCCUAGGAAUCUGCCUGGUAGUGGGGGAUAACGUCCGGAAACGGGCGCUAAUACCGCAUACGUCCUGAGGGAGAAAGUGGGGGAUCUUCGGACCUCACGCUAUCAGAUGAGCCUAGGUCGGAUUAGCUAGUUGGUGGGGUAAAGGCCUACCAAGGCGACGAUCCGUAACUGGUCUGAGAGGAUGAUCAGUCACACUGGAACUGAGACACGGUCCAGACUCCUACGGGAGGCAGCAGUGGGGAGUAUUGGACAAUGGGCGAAAGCCUGAUCCAGCCAUGCCGCGUGUGUGAAGAAGGUCUUCGGAUUGUAAAGCACUUUAAGUUGGGAGGAAGGGCAGUAAGUUAAUACCUUGCUGUUUUGACGUUACCAACAGAAUAAGCACCGGCUAACUUCGUG
RNAcentral lists this ribosomal RNA (484 nucleotides) under uncultured bacterium. Its description in RNAcentral is "partial 16S ribosomal RNA". It matches the Rfam family "Bacterial small subunit ribosomal RNA", at positions 30 to 507 of the family's 1533-position model. The record is from RNAcentral.